GUUACAUCACAGUGUGGAGCAGGUGUGUGGCUGGUUGGUUACAUCACAGUGUGGAGCGGGUUGUGUGGCUGGUUGGUUACAUCACAGUGUAGAGCGGGUGUGUGGCUGGUAUUUGUUAUAUCACAGUGUGGAAGCAGGGGUGUGUGGCUGGUUUGGUUCAUCACAGGGUGUGGAGCGGGGUGUGUGGCUGAUUGGUUACAUCACCGUUGUGGAGCGGGGUGGUGUGGCUGGUUGGUUUCUCUGAGGAGAGAGAUAAGAGAGAAGAGAGAAGAGGAGAGAAGAGAGAGAAGGGGGAAAGAGAGAGGAGAGAGAGAGAGAGAGAGAGAGAGAGAGAGACAGAGAGAGAGAGAGAGAGAGACCAUCUCACUAGCUAUACAUAACAUCUGGUCAUGUCAAAUAGCCAUAGACAGACAGAGAAUAGAGGUGAUUGUAUCAUAGUGCUGCCCAAUGGGAUAGUCAUCAUUUGUUCAACUUGUUUAUGGCUUAAUCAUUAGAAUAGUUAACUUCCAUUUGAUAGAAUAAAGAAAGUGACCCAAAAUGUCAUACAGAUAAUUGUAUUGGUCCAUAUUUGGGUAAUGAGAUAUCAUAAAAGUGUAACUGGCAGAAUUACAGAUAUCUUACUUUGAGGAGUUUGGGUUAAGAAGAAAGAUGGAUGUCAGUCGCAGCUUGAUAUGCCUUCUGUUUCAUCUUUGUCUUUCUCUGUAGUUUCUUUAGUCUCCUCAGCGGUGGACUUACUGGUCGAGCUGGCCGAUGCUGGUCUGGUGUCUGGCUUUUUAGAAGGGUCCACCACGACAGAACCCCUGCUGGUGUUGCACCCCAUGGUUCAGUCCAGUGGAAGACUGAUUAAAACAGACGUCCUGUUGAGGUUGUUGGUUUUUUAUAAAGUCUGAAAAUAACUGUUGUGGA
RNAcentral lists this long non-coding RNA (906 nucleotides) under Salmo trutta (river trout). Its description in RNAcentral is "lncRNA (ENSSTUG00000033305.1)". The record is from RNAcentral. Lineage: Eukaryota; Metazoa; Chordata; Actinopteri; Salmoniformes; Salmonidae.